This 784-nucleotide ribosomal RNA is filed under the name uncultured Bacillota bacterium. Its description in RNAcentral is "bacterial SSU rRNA". It matches the Rfam family "Bacterial small subunit ribosomal RNA", at positions 74 to 836 of the family's 1533-position model. The record is from RNAcentral. Lineage: Bacteria; Bacillati; Bacillota.
CCCCCUUCGGGGGGCAAGUAGAGUGGCGCACGGGUGAGUAACACGUAGGUAAUCUACCUUUGGAUGGGGAAUAACAACCGGAAACGGUUGCUAAUACCGCAUAAUGCAGCGGCACCUAAUGGUGACAGUUGUUAAAGCGGGGGAUCGCAAGACCUCGCGUCUGAAGAGGAGCCUGCGGCAGAUUAGCUAGUUGGUAAGGUAAAGGCUUACCAAGGCGAUGAUCUGUAGCCGGCCUGAGAGGGCGGUCGGCCACACUGACACUGACAUACGGGUCAGACUCCUACGGGAGGCAGCAGUCGGGAAUUUUGGGCAAUGGGCGAAAGCCCGACCCAGCAACGCCGCGUGAAGGAUGAAAUCCCUCGGGAUGUAAACUUCGCAAGAACGGGAAGAAUAAGUAAGAGCUAACGUCUCUUAUGAUGACGGUACUGUUUGUAAGCUCCGGCUAACUCCGUGCCAGCAGCCGCGGUAAUACGGGGGGAGCAAGCGUUGUUCGGAUUUACUGGGCGUAAAGGGCGCGUAGGCGGCCACCGCAAGUCGACUGUGAAAUCUCCGGGCUUAACUCGGAAAGGUCAGCCGAUACUGCGGGGCUAGAGUGCAGAAGGGGCAACUGGAAUUCUCGGUGUAGCGGUGAAAUGCGUAGAUAUCGAGAGGAACACCUGCGGCGAAGGCGGGUUGCUGGGCUGACACUGACGCUGAGGCGCGAAAGCUAGGGGAGCGAACGGGAUUAGAUACCCCGGUAGUCCUAGCCUUAAACGAUGAAUGCUUGGUGUCUGGGGUUUUAUAG